This 505-nucleotide long non-coding RNA is filed under the name Mytilus galloprovincialis (Mediterranean mussel). The record is from RNAcentral. Lineage: Eukaryota; Metazoa; Mollusca; Bivalvia; Mytilida; Mytilidae.
UUGUUUUGUAGUAUUUUUUAUUGUGUAUUAGCAGUAUUGUAUAAUUAUCUUAAUUUCUCGUAACUGUCUGCAAUGUGAGUUUAGUAUAUAACUAAUAAUAAAAUGACUUAGGGUACAUUUCUUUCUAACACAAACGAUGCAAAUGGCUUAGCGCGCACAUGUUUUGAUCAUUUGUUUCUAACAUACGUUUGCAAAGUUUACAUAAACUUUGAAAAACUAUGCACUCGCUUAAAAUGCGUCUGCAGUUUUUAGUUUGUCGUUUGUUAGUACAAAAGUUCCAUUUGUUUCUAACUUCAACCUGAUUAAACGAUGCAUUUGUUUCAACGUUUGUAAAAAGUAUGUUUACCAACAACGUGUGCAUGCAUUAUUGAAAGUUCAAACAGGGUCAGUAAACACUGAUUAAACGAUGUAUUUGCUUCUAAUGUUGUAAAAAGCCUGUUUACCAACAACGUGUGCAUGCAUUAUUGAAAGUUCAAACAGAGCCAGUAAACACUGAUUAAACGAU